Phragmites australis (common reed) is the source of this 2049-nucleotide RNA transcript. It is a transcript of the gene named E3 ubiquitin-protein ligase RSL1-like, with no coding region annotated. Lineage: Eukaryota; Viridiplantae; Streptophyta; Magnoliopsida; Poales; Poaceae. The record is from RefSeq and is a predicted model, not a curated record. The transcript is spliced from 2 exons.
AGCAGAAGGGCGGCAAAGGCGGGUGUGCCGUCCCCUUAGCCGCGGGGCCCAUGGAUAUGCUUUAAUCAGGGGCCAUGCAGACCGUCGGCCAGCAGUGGUGUCCCAUUGCCGUCCAUCCUGAUAUUCUUGGCACGCGCCCCUCGCCGCUUCCCCAGGCGUUCCACACCACAUUUGCACCGUCUUCCACGUCGCAGCCGACACGACGCUCACAUGGGAUCAGGCCGGUCUGUCGCGGCCACGAAUGCGCUUUCCACCCAGUCACUGGUACAUGGGUCGUGGACUCCGACGCCACGGCGCACAUGACGGCAACCGAAGGUAACCUGUUUCUGCUGUGGCCCCUUCCCUCCCCUCCCCUCCCCUCCCCUACUCUGUCACCGUUGGUAAUGGUGUCACCGUUCCAGUUUCGGCGUGUGGCACUGCCCUUCUUCCCACUCCUUCCUCCAACCUUAUUAUCCUAAAAACGUUAUACUCGUUCCCUCACCCACAAUUCGCUCGAGAGAAAUCAUGGAGCCUCAAAGCCAGCACCAGCCCUUCCAAAUUCCCACUCCAGAUACCAAAACGACGUUCUGGUUUACAAAUUACUCCCCAUACGUGUAAGUGGGGAUAUUUAAUCUACUCCAACGGACGAAAGAAGCCGCCGAGAUAAUCUUCUCGGCUUCUCGCACGAAAUGGCAGCCGGGUCUUCCAACGCCGGCCUCGUCGACGACUUCUACUUCGCAGCCCUCGCCCACGGGCGGAACGACGCCGACGCCUCCGGAGACGAUGAGCUCUUCCCGAUAUCGGACGAGAAGUACGCCGCGGAGCUCCAGCUACAGGAGGUGAUCAUGUCCUCCGCCCUUGCGGCCACGGCGAGCUCCUCGGUCGCGCCACGUCUUAGUAGCACAGCUGCCACGAGCAACAACGCAGCAGCAUCGUUCGUGUCGGCCGCUCUCGUCAAAGGUGAGUGCUCCUCUGCUGCCUCGUCGUCGCAGCCGUCCCUCGCCGCCACGUUCGUCUUCUGCAAGAUCUGCAUGGAAGCCGUGCCGCCCUCCGACGCGCACCGCGCCAGCCGUGGCUGCGCGCACGCCUUCUGCGGCGGCUGCCUCGAGCGCUACAUCGGCGCCAAGAUCCAGGACAGGAUCGCCGAAGUCAGUUGCCCCGAGGAGCGGUGCGGCGGCGUGCUGGACCCGGAGCUCUGCCAGGGCAUGCUCCCGCGGGAGGUCUUCGAGCGGUGGGGCGCCGCGCUGUGCGAGUUCAUGGUGCUGGGGGCCAAGAGGGCCUACUGCCCCUACGAGGACUGCUCGGCGAUGAUGCUGGUGGACGACGACGGCGACGUCCGCGACGUCGCGGAGUCGGAGUGCCUGAGCUGCAGGCGGCUCUUCUGCGCUCGGUGCGUUGUGGCGCCGUGGCACGCCGGCGUGACCUGCGACGAGUACGAUAGGUUCGGGAAGGUGGACAGUUGCAGGGAGGACAUGAUGCUGCUGGAGAUGGCCAAGGGGAAGAAGUGGAAGCGGUGCCCCAGGUGCGAUUUCUUCGUGGAGAAAGAUCAGGGCUGCCUACACAUUACAUGCAGGUACGUGCAAGUGUCGCCGAUCGAUCGACUUGCCGGCCGUUUUCUUCAUCGUUUCCGCAGAAGGGUACUGCCGUAUUUGAGGUGUUGAGGCCUUCUUGAAGCGUUGCAAAAAAAACUCUGAAUCAUGCGAGAAUUGAGCUGUUUCUCGCGUAACGUAAUCGGUGUGGCUUCGAGUUUUGCUACGGAUGUGGCCAGAAGUGGGGGGUCACUCAUUCUAGUUGCAGCACAGCGUGAGAUGUGAUGAAUGCUAUUUGGGAUCGAAGUAUAAAACCAGAAACGGUGUUGUUAUUCAGUGGUCAGUAACAUAUGUCCGAUAUCUGACUGAUUGUAUCUGAAGCUAAAUGUCAUGCAAUGCCUAGCUGCCAUGUUGGGCUAGUAUAAUUCUGAUUAUGGCUCCAGAAUAUCUACUCUUAUUUGGUGCAUUUUUGGCUGGGGAAAAUGCGCAUAAUGUCUAGGCGACCUGCACGAGGUACUUGAGUUCGUUACGGUUUCGGAUU